Molecule: ribosomal RNA, 496 nt
Filed under: uncultured bacterium
Lineage: Bacteria
Description: partial 16S ribosomal RNA
Rfam family: Bacterial small subunit ribosomal RNA
Source: RNAcentral
GAUGAACGCUGGCGGCGUGCCUAAUACAUGCAAGUCGAGCGAACAGACGAGGAGCUUACUCCUCUGACGUUAGCGGCGGACGGGUGAGUAACACGUGGAUAACCUACCUAUAAGACUGGGAUAACUUCGGGAAACCGGAGCUAAUACCGGAUAACAUGUUGAACCGCAUGGUUCAACAGUGAAAGACGGUCUUGCUGUCACUUAUAGAUGGAUCCGCGUCGCAUUAGCUAGUUGGUAAGGUAACGGCUUACCAAGGCAACGAUGCGUAGCCGACCUGAGAGGGUGAUCGGCCACACUGGAACUGAGACACGGUCCAGACUCCUACGGGAGGCAGCAGUAGGGAAUCUUCCGCAAUGGGCGAAAGCCUGACGGAGCAACGCCGCGUGAGUGAAGAAGGUCUGCGGAUCGUAAAACUCUGUUAUUAGGGAAGAACAAAUGUGUAAGUAACUAUGCACGUCUUGACGGUACCUAAGCAGAAAGCCACGGCUAACUACGU